GUAGGGAAUCUUGCGCAAUGGGCGAAAGCCUGACGCAGCCAUGCCGCGUGAAUGAUGAAGGUCUUAGGAUUGUAAAAUUCUUUCACCGGGGACGAUAAUGACGGUACCCGGAGAAGAAGCCCCGGCUAACUUCGUGCCAGCAGCCGCGGUAAUACGAAGGGGGCUAGCGUUGCUCGGAAUUACUGGGCGUAAAGGGAGCGUAGGCGGAUAGUUUAGUCAGAGGUGAACGCCCAGGGCUCAACCUUGGAAUUGCCUUUGAUACUGGCUAUCUUGAGUAUGGAAGAGGUAUGUGGAACUCCGAGUGUAGAGGUGAAAUUCGUAGAUAUUCGGAAGAACACCAGUGGCGAAGGCGACAUACUGGUCCGGUACUGACGCUGAGGUGCGAAAGCGUGGGGAGCAAACAGGAUUAGAUACCCCAGUAGUCC
Molecule: ribosomal RNA, 425 nt
Filed under: uncultured bacterium
Lineage: Bacteria
Description: bacterial SSU rRNA
Rfam family: Bacterial small subunit ribosomal RNA
Source: RNAcentral